Molecule: unclassified non-coding RNA, 295 nt
Filed under: uncultured fungus
Lineage: Eukaryota; Fungi
Description: sequence contains ITS1
Source: RNAcentral
GGGGACUACUGGGGUAUCUAAUCCUGUUUGCUCCCCACGCUUUCGUGCAUGAGCGUCAGUGUUAUCCCAGGGGGCUGCCUUCGCCAUCGGUAUUCCUCCACAUCUCUACGCAUUUCACUGCUACACGUGGAAUUCUACCCCCCUCUGACACACUCUAGCCGUGCAGUCACAAAUGCAGUUCCCAGGUUAAGCCCGGGGAUUUCACAUCUGUCCUACACAACCGCCUGCGCACGCUUUACGCCCAGUAAUUCCGAUUAACGCUUGCACCCUACGUAUUACCGCGGCUGCUGGCACC